AACGAACGCUGGCGGCAUGCCUAACACAUGCAAGUCGGACGAAGCCUUCGGGCUUAGUGGCGCACGGGUGCGUAACGCGUGGGAAUCUGCCCUUUGGUUCGGAAUAACAGUUGGAAACGACUGCUAAUACCGGAUGAUGACGAAAGUCCAAAGAUUUAUCGCCAGAGGAUGAGCCCGCGUAGGAUUAGCUAGUUGGUGUGGUAAAGGCGCACCAAGGCGACGAUCCUUAGCUGGUCUGAGAGGAUGAUCAGCCACACUGGGACUGAGACACGGCCCAGACUCCUACGGGAGGCAGCAGUGGGGAAUAUUGGACAAUGGGCGAAAGCCUGAUCCAGCAAUGCCGCGUGAGUGAUGAAGGCCUUAGGGUUGUAAAGCUCCUUUACCCGGGAUGAUAAUGACAGUACCGGGAGAAUAAGCUCCGGCUAACUCCGUGCCAGCAGCCACGGUAA
Molecule: ribosomal RNA, 449 nt
Filed under: uncultured bacterium
Lineage: Bacteria
Description: partial 16S ribosomal RNA
Rfam family: Bacterial small subunit ribosomal RNA
Source: RNAcentral